Long non-coding RNA from Leopardus geoffroyi (Geoffroy's cat), 538 nucleotides. RefSeq lists it as uncharacterized. The transcript is spliced from 2 exons. The record is from RefSeq and is a predicted model, not a curated record. Lineage: Eukaryota; Metazoa; Chordata; Mammalia; Carnivora; Felidae.
CAAAAACCAUGAGAUCAUGACCUGAGCCGAAAUCGAGAGUAGGACGCUCAACUGACUGAGCCACCAGGCGCCCCAAGAAUAACAUCUUUUAAUCAAAUCCUCCAAUUGAGUUUGACAUGAUCUGUUUUCCUACAGUUUGAAGUAGGAAGUGCUUUUAAAUACAAGUGUCUAAAUAAUAAACAGACUCACCAAACCUAGACUGAAAAUGAAGUUAAACAAGGAUAAUGAAUUUUGGUAGGUGUAAAUUUAUUAUUACAUAUAUAAUAGUUUGGUAGUUUGUUUUAGAAAAGGAAAGAACAGAUAAAUUGACUCCCUAGACCCCUUGUUGAGUUGAUCUGAAAAUACUACCUCUAAUAACAUUAUCCUUUGAUUGUUUGGUAUCCCUCUUUACACUGUUAAACUGUAAAUGGUUUAGCAAAUCACCAAACUAAACUAGUAAAGUUUGGGAUAUGGGCUUUUGAAGGAUAUUUAAAACUAAGUACCCAUAAUUAAGGGAGUGGUGACUUGCUGUGGUAGAGGGAAAAAUCAAAAGACAAGA